GACGAACGCUGGCGGCGUGCUUAACACAUGCAAGUCGAACGGAAAGGCCCUGCUUUUGUGGGGUGCUCGAGUGGCGAACGGGUAAGUAACACGUGAGUAACCUGCCCUUGACUUUGGGAUAACUUCAGGAAACUGGGGCUAAUACCGGAUAGGAGCUCCUGCUGCAUGGUGGGGGUUGGAAAGUUUCGGCGGUUGGGGAUGGACUCGCGGCGUCUCAGCUUGUUGGUGGGGUAGUGGCUUACCAAAGCUUUGACGGGUAGCCGGCCUGAGAGGGUUACCGGCCACAUUGGGACUGAGAUACGGCCCAGACUACUACGGGCGGCAGAAGUGGGGAAUAUUGCAAGAUGGGCGGAAGCAUGAUGCAGCCACGCCGCGUGCGGGAUGACGGCCUUCGGGUUGUACACCGCUUUCGCCUGUGACGAAGCGUGAGUGACGGUAAUGGGUAAAGAAGCACCGGCUAACUACGUG
Molecule: ribosomal RNA, 468 nt
Filed under: uncultured bacterium
Lineage: Bacteria
Description: partial 16S ribosomal RNA
Rfam family: Bacterial small subunit ribosomal RNA
Source: RNAcentral